CCACCAGUCUGGUUUACCUUAGACAUCAAUUGGUUUAAUUAGUUUCGAUUAGAUCAACCUAACAGUUCAUGCUAGACCACUUAGCCAAGAAUCAAGUCUAUUUGGUUUUCGUUAAAGACAUGGACUUGACCAACUACAACUAUUGUAAUUGAUUUAGAGAAUCUUUGACCUAAUCUAAGACAACAAUUGAUUAGAUUUAGUCAGUUCUCUAAUUAAGUACAUCUUUAAUCUAACCUUAGGUCUAACCCAAUUAAUGGACCUUGUUGGUGCAAAAAUCCGCCUGCGCCGGAGAAGCUGGAGUCGAGGG
This 307-nucleotide long non-coding RNA is filed under the name Elaeis guineensis (African oil palm). RNAcentral describes it as "long non-coding RNA (EGUI_LNC080172)". The record is from RNAcentral. Lineage: Eukaryota; Viridiplantae; Streptophyta; Magnoliopsida; Arecales; Arecaceae.